Molecule: RNA transcript, 2177 nt
Organism: Lotus japonicus
Lineage: Eukaryota; Viridiplantae; Streptophyta; Magnoliopsida; Fabales; Fabaceae
Exons: 3
Source: RefSeq, a predicted model, not a curated record
UAUUUUCACCCCCAAAUGGAUUCUUCUAUUCUAUUUUCUACCUGCCCUCUUCCUUCGUUAGACCAACGGAGAGACAGAGAGAGACAGAGAGAAGGGUCUGUGGUUUACAGAAUCAAGAACUAACAUCUCACAAUUGAUCCUCUUUCUUCAAUCUCAAUUUUCCAAGGAAAAGGCGGAACCUCCUCCUCCUCGGUAUCAUGAUCAGUGAUCACAAGUUCACAACUCAUCCUCCUACAAUUCUAACAGCAGUGGUACAAAUGUCUUUAGAUUGCUAGCACAAAGACAGAUUGCACCUAGAACCAAACAUAGGUGGCGCUGGGGAGAAUCUUGUAAAUCGAAAUCCGGUUCUUGCUCCCAUCGGAAAAGUGAAGCAGUAAUAGAUGCAAAGCGUGGUCUUCUCUCAUGAUACUUACACAACUUCAGUGUAUAGAUGGAUUUAUUUCCUUUCUUUAAAGAAAUUCAAUAUCAAUGACUAGCAUCUCUAGAAGUGCUUGUCAGGGUUGAGGCUGAAUCAUUGUUGCAUUUGUCAGCUAAGUAUUGCCCUUUAUUGCCUCCACCACGGUCUACUAUUUCUGCCGCAUUCAGUCCUGAUGGAAAAGUGCUUGCAUCCACACAUGGUGACCACACAGUAAAGUUAAUCGAUUGUCAAACUGGAAAUUGCUUACAGGUGGUGGUUGUUCAUAGAAGGACACCUUGGGUUGUAAGUUUCAAGUCUUCCUGUUGACCUUAAUUUUUUGUCUCUGUAUCUCUUCUAUUCUUCAUUUUCUUCUUAUGCUGAUUUCAAUAUAUAGAGAAUGUCACAAACAAAAUAUCCUAAAAGCCUAAAGUUAUUAGGUGAAGACACAUAAUAAUUUUAUUUUGUUUCCCUAGCAUGCUAUAGAAGUGUGGUGGGCGCAUAACCCACAUACUACUGUCUGAGAAUUAGGCUCAAAUACCAACUUGAAAAGUAAUGUACUGAAUCUUAUUUCUUGAUGGAUGAUAAUUGUACAAUAGGAAUUGUUUAAUAUAAACUAGUCCUUUUUACUACUUUCCUAUAGUAGAGCUACAUUAAAAGCCGCUUUCUGUUCCAAUAAAGGGGAAUCUAAUAAAAAAAAUCUGUAUAAUGAAAUGGAAUAAUAAUAAUAACUCUCGGCAGAAGGAAUAUUUUUCUAUCAGUUUUGAUGAGAUACAUUAUAAAGAUGAAACAAUUCUAUUGAAUGGAUUCAAACUUUUCAUUGUUAAUAAAGCACUAUCUAGCUACCCAAAUUUUGCACUUAGUAUGUACUUAAUGAAUGUAAUAUCUUAUAUUUACUUUUUAAGAUGAUGUUUCUUGUAAAUUGAAUUGAUUUUUCUUUGCCAUUUUCUUUAUACUUUAUUACUUUUCCUAGCUUGUACAGUUUUUCAUUUUAGGCAACAAUCUCCAAUUUAAGCAUAUGAAAUAUUCAUUCAUGCAGUUAAAUAGUUUUUCUUCAACCAAAAACUUUCUUUUGCUCUUUCUGGACUAUUGCAUGGAUGCUUAAAUGAAGUAGGUAACGUGAAUUAUAUGGUCUUUCCAAAUUCCUGGAAUUUCCGAUGCCAAGAAGUGGUUUUGGGCCCAUUAUUAGAGAAUGUGAGAAUUAGUGCAUGUGCCAUUGUGCCCUGAUGGUGUCUUUUGUGCUUCUAGUCCUAGCACAUUCCAAGUGUUGUGGAUUAAAAAAUUUCAGUCUUAAUCAGCGUUAAGGGUAUAUAUAGGAAUGCUCAUUGGUUUUGAUGGUUGUAAUGUAUUCAUAAAUUACUUAGAGUCCUUGAAUUAUCAAGUAAACUUUGAUGCAAAAACAUAUAUUACAUCAUUCGUUGAUUUUUUCUUAUAUGGAGAAGGCUUGCAAGCUUUUUUGGUAGAUGGUGAAUGCUUUAUGUUGUUGAUGUUUGUAUUUGUUGAUUAGGAUAUUUUGUUGUUAGGACAAGUUUUCGUGUAACAAUGAUUGGUUGAGGAUAUGCAAAUCCUGAUAAAUUAGUUUUUUUAAUCUAAGGCUUUUGUAGAUUUAUAAGUUAAUAUUAGUUUCACACACUGAUUCCUAAAAAAAUUGAAGGCUUUUUUAAGUUCCCAGCCAGAUUCUCAUACUUUAUGUAUGAUGAUGAUUUUUGGGUGCAGCCAGAUACUCUUGAAAUAACAAUACAAAACUCUUAAUCGUAAUUAAAUAAUGAAGCAAAUCAUGAAA